AAGUCAUUACUACUGCUAUGCUCACUGCCCCCUUCCUAUGAUCCAUUGAUGACGAUACUGUUCUGUGGCAAGGAGACCCUGGAGUAUGAAGACAUGGUCUCGGUGCUAUGUUCCAAUGAACAAUGAGAGAAGUUGACCAAGGAAGGUGCUCCCCAGGAGAGCUUGGCCCUGGAGGAGAAAUCAAGAAAAGAAAAAGAGGCAAGUCAAGGGGACGGUCAAAAUCUUGAAAGAGCAGGAGCAAGAAGGAAGCCAGGUGCUACAAGUGCAACGAGAUCGGGUACUUCAAACAAGAUUGCCCG
This 299-nucleotide long non-coding RNA is filed under the name Elaeis guineensis (African oil palm). RNAcentral's name for it is "long non-coding RNA (EGUI_LNC063368)". The record is from RNAcentral. Lineage: Eukaryota; Viridiplantae; Streptophyta; Magnoliopsida; Arecales; Arecaceae.